AGAGUUUGAUCCUGGCUCAGGAUUAACGCUGGCGGCGUGCAUGAAACAUGCAAGUCGAGCGCAUCGCGUGCGGGGGUAACCCUUCACGCGUUAAGCGGCGCACGGGUGAGUAACACGUGAGCAACCUACCUUCGAGUCUGGGAUAGCCCUGAGAAAUCAGGAUUAAUACCGGAUGUGGUCAUCGCAGGACAUCCUGUGAUGUGUAAAGGCGAAAGCCGCUCGGAGACGGGCUCGCGGCCUAUUAGCUUGUUGGUGGGGUAACGGCCUACCAAGGCGAUGAUGGGUAGCUGGUCUGAGAGGACGAUCAGCCACACUGGGACUGAGACACGGCCCAGACUCCUACGGGAGGCAGCAGUUAGGAAUCUUCCGCAAUGGGCGAAAGCCUGACGGAGCAACGCCGCGUGGGUGAUGAAGACCUUCGGGUUGUAAAGCCCUGUCGGAGGGAACGAAGAUCUGACGGUACCCUCCAAGAAAGCCCCGGCUAACUACGUGCCAGCAGCCGCGGUAAUACGUAGGGGGCGAGCGUUAUCCGGAUUUACUGGGCGUAAAGCGCGUUAAGGCGGCCGGCUAAGUUGGUGGUGAAAUCGCAGGGCUCAACCCUGCAACUGCCUCCAAUACUGUCCGGCUCGAGUGCGAGAGAGGAAGAUGGAAUUCCCGGUGUAGUAGUGAAAUGCGUAGAUAUCGGGAGGAACACCAGUGGCGAAGGCGGUCUUCUGGCUCGCAACU
Molecule: ribosomal RNA, 726 nt
Filed under: uncultured bacterium
Lineage: Bacteria
Description: bacterial SSU rRNA
Rfam family: Bacterial small subunit ribosomal RNA
Source: RNAcentral